UNGUAGGCGNUUUGUCGCNUCUGCCGUGAAAGUCCGGGGCUCAANUNNNGAUCUGCGGUGGGUACGGGCAGACUAGAGUGAUGUAGGGGAGACUGGAAUUCNUGGUGUAGCGGUGAAAUGCGCAGAUAUCAGGAGGAACACCGAUGGCGAAGNCNNGUNUCUGGGCAUUAACUGACGCUGAGGAGCGAAAGCAUGGGGAGCGAACAGGAUUAGAUACCCUGGUAGUCCAUGCCGUAAACGUUGGGCACUAGGUGUGGGGGACAUUCCACGUUUUCCGCGCCGUAGCUAACGCAUUAAGUGCCCCGCCUGGGGAGUACGGCCGCAAGGCUAAAACUCAAAGGAAUUGACGGGGGCCCGCACAAGCGGCGGAGCAUGCGGAUUAAUUCGAUGCAACGCGAAGAACCUUACCAAGGCUUGACAUGAACCGGAAACGCCUGGAGACAGGUGCCCCGCUUGCGGUCGGUUUACAGGUGGUGCAUGGUUGUCGUCAGCUCGUGUCGUGAGAUGUUGGGUUAAGUCCCGCAACGAGCGCAACCCUCGUUCUAUGUUGCCAGCACGUGAUGGUGGGGACUCAUAGGAGACUGCCGGGGUCAACUCGGAGGAAGGUGGGGACGACGUCAAAUCAUCAUGCCCNNUANNUUNUUGGGCUUCACGCAUGCUACAAUGGCCGGUACAAAGGGUUGCGAUACUGUGAGGUGGAGCUAAUCCCAAAAAGCCGGUCUCAGUUCGGAUUGGGGUCUGCAACUCGACCCCAUGAAGUCGGAGUCGCUAGUAAUCGCAGAUCAGCAACGCUGCGGUGAAUACGUUCCCGGGCCUUGUACACACCGCCCGUCAAGUCACGAAAGUUGGUAACACCCGAAGCCGGUGGCCUAACCCCUUGUNGGAGGGAGC
Molecule: ribosomal RNA, 891 nt
Filed under: Arthrobacter sp. L2D46A
Lineage: Bacteria; Bacillati; Actinomycetota; Actinomycetes; Micrococcales; Micrococcaceae
Description: partial 16S ribosomal RNA
Rfam family: Bacterial small subunit ribosomal RNA
Source: RNAcentral